Molecule: non-coding RNA, 529 nt
Filed under: Schistosoma curassoni
Lineage: Eukaryota; Metazoa; Platyhelminthes; Trematoda; Strigeidida; Schistosomatidae
Description: Eukaryotic large subunit ribosomal RNA
Rfam family: Eukaryotic large subunit ribosomal RNA
Source: Rfam by way of RNAcentral
UAGAGAGUUGAUAAAGAAUAUAAAAUGUGCGCGUUCGAGAACACUACCUCUUGACCAGUAAAUUUCUUCCAGUGAUUCACACUUUUAACUUCGACUAUUAGAAGGAUUGAACAACUGUCGUUCAUCACUUGCUGAUGAUAACAUUGUGAAGCGUUGGAUUGUUCAUUCACUAAUAGGGAACAUGAGCUGGGUUUAGACCGUCGUGAGACAAGUUAGUUUUACCCUACUAAUGAGUAUAUCAGUGAAGUACAAUCUGGCCGUUGCUAUGAUAAUUCUGUUUAGUACCAGAGGAACCACAGAUUUAGAUAAUUGAUAUAUAUGCCUGGUCGAAAGGCCAAUGAUGCGAAACUACCGUCUGAAUUAGUUGAAUUCUAUCUGUGAGGACAGUCCACGGGUGAACUCAAGGAAGCUCUAAGAAGCUUAGAAAGAGCCGAAGAUAUUCCAUCCAAUCAUCUUUUGGAAGAGUAUUCCAGAAUUUCCACGUGUAUCUUCCCUAUUGGAUAAAUGUUAAUAACGCCCCUGUGUGCGG